Molecule: long non-coding RNA, 1901 nt
Organism: Thunnus maccoyii (southern bluefin tuna)
Lineage: Eukaryota; Metazoa; Chordata; Actinopteri; Scombriformes; Scombridae
Exons: 3
Source: RefSeq, a predicted model, not a curated record
UGUGGGAUUGACAUGUCAGUGGAAUGUUGGUUCGGAUGGUGAGUAACAAAAUCAGGUUUGAUAUCUAACUAAUUGACAGGGUUUUCGAUCUAAUAAUGUAUAUUAUUUUACCUUGUAACUUAACUGACAUUAGCUGUUUGUCACGUGUAUUUUAAGCAGGAGUAAAGAGUUAGCACAUGGGAGAUACGGUAGCUAAGCUAACUGUCUUGCCCUGUAAGUUUGAGCACACUCACUUUUAAACAGGGUCAUAACUAACGUUAACUUACCUUCAACAUUAACCUAAUUUUAUUAUGUCUUGUAGAAAGGAAACAUUAGCUAGCUGGUUAGCCAUGUUUUGAACGUCAUCUGUUAGCUAGCUUUUGUCAGUGCUAACGGCUCUCCUGUCCUGCUGUUUCCUCACCGCGUUACUGCUGUGCUGGAAAUUGUGGAAACUGAAGACCGCUGGUGAAUGAAGUUGUAAGGGGACAUAAUGAAGCUGAGGUCUUGAAUGACAUCUAUUUAAGGUCAAGUGCUCGUGAGACCUCAGGACUUUACCAGAGGUAUUUCUUGGGCCCACAGACAGACAAGCUCAAAGUUAAAGAGGCUGCAUGGAUAUAUCAACCAAUAAGUACAUUCAUUAGAAAACCUAUUGACUUUGAGUGGAUGUCAUUGUAGACAUGCUGUAACAGGGAAGUGCAGACUUGCAUGUAGCACAAGAUUUCCUCUUUUGGUGUUUUGUCAAAAUGAGAAGUUUGAAGUUCAUAUAGGGUUGUUUUUGUGUGUUUGUUUCUCAAUUUCACCAUUCAGUUUUCUUGAAUGAACCCUGAAUGAUAAACUGGCAGUUCCUAAACCCCUUGGAUUGCCAUACUCCAUGAAAUCACAGUAUACUGUAGCUGUCUGGAUAGACAGUACAAGCAACUUUUUGAAAUUAGAGGUUGUCAUUUGAUUCAGUGCUCAUUUUUAAAAAAAUCUUUAAUAUAGGGUGAUAGUGAGGCUCAGCUUCAGUUUCAGCCAGUGUUUACUGAUAGUAAAAGAUGGAACAGGAUGAAGAAAAACUACUAAAAUAUUAUUGGGGAUACUAGCUAAUUCUUCCUUUUUCAGUUAUUUAUAUGCUUUUCUGAUGCUUAUUUGUGUCUUUAACAAAUAGUUCAGGCUCAGUAGCAGAUAAUUAUAUUGUCAUCAAUUUCCUUCCAGACAUGCACAAGGCACAUCUUACACUACCCAUCAUCAGGUCUUAAAGGAUAGGUUCACAUUUUUCAAGUCUGUCAUAAAACAAUACUGACACGUCCUCAUGUAUCUUGAAAAAAUGAUUGAUUGUUGUAAUUCUUCCCUCUGUCCACACUGGAAGAGAAGAGAUUCUAAAGCAAUUCCCAUGUAAGUGAUGGGGGACAAAAUCUAGCCAAAGCUCAUAUAAGGCUUCAGCAUUUUCAGUUAAACCAAUCAAGUGGGUUUAUUCAGAAUUAAUAUUUUUAGUGCAGUAUUCCCUCCAUCUGUUUCCAUAGACUGUUUCCUUGCUGAGCUGUGGCAGAAGGAUUGUCACACAAAGAGGGAAUUUUGUACUAACUGCUACUGAUGAAUUAUCAUAUUAUCAUCAGCUGAACUUUGGUAGUAAUUCCUGCACAGAAUGAGGACUUUGGAUUUGUCCGUCAUGUCUUGUAUUGGAAUAACAUCCGGAGGGGAUUUCUUCAUGGCCAGUGUAGACAGGAGGAACGGUUACAGCGAACAAUAACUCAAAGUACUGCAAUAUAAAAAUGGUCAUGGGAGAAUUCUAUUUGUCUGUCUGUCUGUCUGUCCAUCUUUGUGUAUAUCUGUGUAUCAAGGUUCACAGCGGCUUGCUUGAGAAGGGUGCCAUAAGAUUCGUUCAUGGGCAUAUUUUGCAGUUAUGUUACUUGUUUACUUGUUUGUAUGUUAAAAUAAAUCCU